UAUGGUAAGGUUUAAGGUUUUUGGCGGUACGGUUAAAAUCACUGUCCAAAACCUUUGUAGGAACUCUUUUCCAACCUUUUGGAGUCAGUUAGACCCAAAAAAAAGAGAAAUGAAAAAAAAAUAUUUGGGGUUUUCAGGCUUCCUGGAGGUAAUACCCUAAUAUUAGGUUUUGGGGCUAGGGUAAGGUUUGAGGUUUUUGGCGUUAGGGUUAAAAUCACUGUCCAAAACCUUUUUAGGAACAUGUUUCAGACCUUUUGGAGUUGGUUACAUACAAAAAAAAUGUAAAAUGAAAAAAAAAAUAUUUGGGGUGUUCGGGCUUCCUGAAGGUAAUACCCGGGUAUUAGGUUAUGGGGCUAUGGUAAGGGUUCAGUUUUUUGGCAUUAGGGUUAAAAUCAUUGUCCAAAACCUUUGUAGGAACUCUUUCCAACCUUUUGGAGUUAGUUAGACCAAAAAAAAAAGAAAAAUGAAAAAAAAAUAUUUGGGGUGUUCGGGCUUCCUGAAGGUAAUACCCGGGUAUUAGGUUAUGGGGCUUAGGAAAUGUUUAAGGUUUUUGGCGUUAGGGUUAAAAUCACUGUCCAAAAACCUUUGUAGGAACUCUUUUCCAACCUUUUGGAGUUAGGUUGACCAAAAAAAAAAAAAAAAAAAAAAAAAAAAAAUAUUUGGGGUGUUCGGGCUUCCUGAAGGUAAUACCCGGGUAUUAGGUUUUGGUGCUAGGGUAAGGUUUGAGGUUUUUGGCAUUAGGGUUAAAAUCACUGUCCAAAACCUUUUUAGGAACACCUUUCAGACCUUUUGGAGUUUGUACACCAAAAAAAAAUGUAAAAUGAAAAAAAAAUAUUUGGGGUGUUCGGGCUUCCUGAAGGUAAUACCCGGGUAUCAGGUUAUGGGGCUAUGGUAAGGUUUAAGGUUUUUGGCGUUAGGGUUAAAAUCACUGUCCAAAACCUUUGUAGGAACUCUUUUCCAAACUUUUGGAGUCAGUUAGACCAAAAAAAAAUGAAAAAUGAAAUAAAAAAUAUUUGGGGUGUUCAGGCUUCCUGAAGGUAAUACCCGGGUAUUAGGUUAUGGGGCUUAGGAAAUGUUUAAGGUUUUUGGCGUUAGGGUUAAAAUCACUGUCCAAAAACCUUUGUAGGAACUCUUUUCCAACCUUUUGGAGUUAGGUUGACCAAAAAAAAAAAGAAAAAAGAAAAAAAAAUAUUUGGGGUGUUCGGGCUUCCUGAAGGUAAUACCCGGGUAUUAGGUUUUUGGGCUAGGGUAAGGUUUGAGGUUUUUGGCAUUAGGGUUAAAAUCACUGUCCAAAACCUUUUUAGGAACACGUUUCAGACCUUUUGGAGUUUGUACACCGAAAAAAAAAUGUAAAAUUAAAAAAAAAUAUUUGGGGUGUUCGGGCUUCCUGAAGGUAAUACCCGGGUAUCAGGUUAUGGGGCUAUGGUAAGGUUUAAGGUUUUUGGCGUUACGGUUAAAAUCACUGUCCAAAACCUUUGUAGGAACUCUUUUCCAACCUUUUGGAGUCAGUUAGACCAAAAAAAAGGGAAAUGAAAAAAAUAUUUGGGGUUUUCAGGCUUCCUGGAGGUAAUACCCUAAUAUUAGGUUUUGGGGCUAGGGUAAGGUUUGAGGUUUUUGGCGUUAGGGUUAAAAUCACUGUCCAAAACCUUUUUAGGAACAUGUUUCAGACCUUUUUGAGUUGGUUACAUAUAAAAAAAAAUGUAAAAUGAAAAAAAAAAUAUUUGGGGUGUUCGGGCUUCCUGAAGGUAAUACCCGGGUAUUAGGUUAUGGGGCUAUGGUAAGGGUUCAGUUUUUUAGCAUUAGGGUUAAAAUUAUUGUCCAAAACCUUUGUAGGAACUCUUUUCCAACCUUUUGGAGUUAGUUAGACCAAAAAAAAAAAAAAAAUGAAAAAAAAAUAUUUGGGGUGUUCGGGCUUCCUGAAGGUAAUAGGUUAUGGGGCUAUGGUAAGGUUUAAGGUUUUUGACGUUAGGGUGAAAAUAACUUUCCAAAACCUUUGUAGGAACUCUUUUCCAACCUUAUGGAGUUCGUUAGACCAAAAAAAAAAGAAAAAUGAAAAAAAAAUAUUUGGGGUGUUCGGGCUUCCUGAAGGUAAUACCCGGGUAUUAGGUUAUGGGGCUUAGGAAAUGUUUAAGGUUUUUGGCGUUAGGGUUAAAAUCACUGUCCAAAAACCUUUGUAGGAACUCUUUUCCAACCUUUUGGAGUUAGGUUGACCAAAAAAAAAAGAAAAAUGAAAAAAAAAUAUUUGGGGUGUUCGGGCUUCCUGAAGGUAAUACCCGGGUAUUAGGUUAUGGGGCUAUGGUAAGGUUUAAGGUUUUUGACGUUAGGGUGAAAAUAACUGUCCAAAGCCUUUGUAGGAACUCUUUUCCAACCUUUUGGAGUCAGUUAGACCAAAAAAAAUGAAAAUGAAAUAAAAAAUAUUUGGGGUGUUCAGGCUUCCUGAAGGUAAUACCCGGGUAUUAGGUUAUGGGGCUUAGGAAAUGUUUAAGGUUUUUGGCGUUAGGGUUAAAAUCACUGUCCAAAAACCUUUGUAGGAACUCUUUUCCAACCUGUUGGAGUUAGGUUGACCAAAAAAAAAAAGAAAAAAGAAAAAAAAAUAUUUGGGGUGUUCGGGCUUCCUGAAGGUAAUACCCGGGUAUUAGGUUUUGGGGCUAGGUUAAGGUUUGAGGUUUUUGGCAUUAGGGUUAAAAUCACUGUCCAAAACCUUUUUAGGAACACGUUUCAGACCUUUUGGAGUUUGUACACCGAAAAAAAAAUGUAAAAUUAAAAAAAAAUAUUUGGGGUGUUCGGGCUAAGGUUUAAGGUUUUUGGCGUUACGGUUAAAAUCACUGUCCAAAACCUUUGUAGGAACUCUUUUCCAACCUUUUGGAGUCAGUUAGACCCAAAAAAAAGAGAAAUGAAAAAAAUAUUUGGGGUUUUCAGGCUUCCUGGAGGUAAUACCCUAAUAUUAGGUUUUGGGGCUAGGGUAAGGUUUGAGGUUUUUGGCGUUAGGGUUAAUAUCAAUGUCCAAAACCUUUGUAGGAACAUGUUUCAGACCUUUUGGAGUUGGUUACAUACAAAAAAAAUGUAAAAUGAAAAAAAAUAUAUUUGGGGUGUUCGGGCUUCCUGAAGGUAAUACCCGGGUAUUAGGUUAUGGGGCUAUGGUAAGGGUUCAGUUUUUUGGCAUUAGGGUUAAAAUUAUUGUCCAAAACCUUUGUAGGAACUCUUUUCCAACCUUUUGGAGUUAGUUAGACCAAAAAAAAAAAAAAAUGAAAAAAAAAAAUAUUUGGGGUGUUCGGGCUUCCUGAAGGUAAUACCCGGGUAUUAGGUUAUGGGGCUAUGGUAAGGUUUAAGUUUUUUGACGUUAGGGUGAAAAUAACUUUCCAAAACCUUUGUAGGAACUCUUUUCCAACCUUAUGGAGUUCGUUAGACCAAAAAAAAAGAAAAAUGAAAAAAAAAUAUUUGGGGUGUUCGGGCUUCCUGAAGGUAAUACCCGGGUAUUAGGUUAUGGGGCUUAGGAAAUGUUUAAGGUUUUUGGCGUUAGGGUUAAAAUCACUGUCCAAAAACCUUUGUAGGAACUCUUUUCCAACCUUUUGGAGUUAGGUUGACCAAAAAAAAAAAGAAAAAAGAAAAAAAAAUAUUUGGGGUGUUCGGGCUUCCUGAAGGUAAUACCCGGGUAUUAGGUUUUGGUGCUAGGGUAAGGUUUGAGGUUUUUGGCAUUAGGGUUAAAAUCACUGUCCAAAACCUUUUUAGGAACACCUUUAAGACAUUUUGGAGUUUUACACCAAAAAAAAAAUGUAAAAUGAAAAAAAAAUAUUUGGGGUGUUCGGGCUUCCUGAAGGUAAUACCCGGGUAUCAGGUUAUGGGGCUAUGGUAAGGUUUAAGGUUUUUGGCGUUAGGGUUAAAAUCACUGUCCAAAACCUUUGUAGGAACUCUUUUCCAAACUUUUGGAGUCAGUUAGACCAAAAAAAAAUGAAAAAUGAAAUAAAAAAUAUUUGGGGUGUUCAGGCUUCCUGAAGGUAAUACCCGGGUAUUAGGUUUUGGGGCUAGGGUAAGGUUUGAGGUUUUUGGCAUUAGGGUUAAAAUCACUGUCCAAAACCUUUUUAGGAACAUGUUUCAGACCUUUUGGAGUUGGUUACAUACAAAAAAAAUGUAAAAUGAAAAAAAAAAUAUUUGGGGUGUUCAGGCUUCCUGAAGGUAAUACCCGGGUAUUAGGUUAUGGGGCUAUGGUAAGGGUUCAGUUUUUUGGCAUUAGGGUUAAAAUUAUUGUCCAAAACCUUUGUAGGAACUCUUUUCCAACUUUUUGGAGUUAGUUAGACCAAAAAAAAAAGCAAAAUGAAAAAAAUAUAUUUUGGGUUUUCGGGCUUCCUGAAGGCAAUACCCGGGAAUCAGUUUCUGGGGCUUUGGAAAGGUUUAAGGUUUUUGGCGUUAGGGUUAAAAUCACUGUCCAAAACCUUUGUAGGAACUCUUUUCCAAGCUUUUUGAGUUAGUUAGACCAAAAAAAAUGAAAAAUGAAAUAAAAAAUAUAUUGAUUGCAAAAAUAUAUCAAGGUCCAAAGGUGGUGUGCGCACUUGUCUGUGGUCAUUUACCAUUAUAAUGAAUGGGAGGCGCAGUUUCUACCAAAACACUUGCUGCAGACAAACUUCAUGAUCCAUAUGAAAAAAGUCUGGACCAUGAGUGAGGGCACAAACACAGCUAGUAUAUAUCCAAAUGGCAAGUUGCUCCUCCUUUCGGUUUUGCAGAGAGAGCGGUGUGUUUGAGCCAUUGAGCGAUGGGCAGGAAAAACUUGACUUUUUCUCCUGCCUUGGGGGGGGCGCUCUUUUGGUGAGAAAAAAAUGACUUCACAAAUGUUUUGAUGGCUGAACAUUGCAUCAUCCUAGAAAACUUGGAUGAGUGGCCAAAACUUCUUUGUCUGCUGUAAAAUCAAAUUGGAUUAAUAUUUUUUCCAGAUUUUUUUUUGUACAUCUCUUAUUUUACUUCUGCCC
This 4961-nucleotide long non-coding RNA is filed under the name Xyrichtys novacula (pearly razorfish). Lineage: Eukaryota; Metazoa; Chordata; Actinopteri; Labriformes; Labridae. The record is from RNAcentral.